UGUAAUCCUCACUCCGCAGCGGAGGAGGCAGGCUCUGCCGAGCUGGGAGGCGUGAGACCGAGGGUCUCUAAAGGGCGGCUGGUCCUGGCGGGACUCAAGACUGGCGGUGGGGCUGGGAGGCGGCUGCAAUGAAGUCUGACACCGCCCAGCGUGCAGCCCACCCACUCUCAAGUUGUCUUCCUGGGGGGCUCCCUCCUUCUCCUUGUUGGCAUGGGAGGCAAGUAUCGAGAGCCACGUCUCGUGGUACAACCGCCCCCGGAAACAAGUGAGGCUUGUUUGCCUUUGGCUACCUGGGGCUGUUCUGGGAGGAGUCACACCCUAAAACCUGGCGUCCGAGGUGCAGGGUGGAAGCGCAGUCUCACCCUCACCUUGCCUAUUCCGGGCGCCUUGGGCCUCCACCACCCUUCCAGGCGCGAUCUCACAUCCCGGAAUUAGGCGCCCGCGCCCAGCUCUUCCAAGCAUUCACAGUGCUGUGGGGAGGGCACGGACAGGGUGGGUGAAAUUGAUGGGCUCAGGCGCUUUCCUAUCGCCGGAGCUUUGUCCACACCUCAAAAAGAAGAAAUGACACUUGUCUUUCUCCAAACAAACCAACUUAUGUAACACCCGCUACCCUGAACAAUUUAUAGCCAUUCGUUCCUGAUUUCUGCUUGUUUCUUUUUGUCUUCCCACCACUAAUUUCGUCUGAGUCUGGGAAACGCGCUGUUUAGACUCUCCGGGUCUCACGCAGGAUGCCUGGAUGCUGGUUGGAGCCACAGAGUUGGACCGAAAAUGUUUUGACUGGCGUCGUUGUGACAAGGUCAUCAGUCAUCCCUGGAUAGAUUGAUAGUACCCAAGUUGAAGGCAAACACCACGAGGGAAAACCCACGGUGCUGAGGACCCCGAGGCUAACCAGGCAGCCUCCGUAGGCUUUGAACAACUCCAUCCGGAGGGGAGGAUGAAGUUCCAGGCCCGUUUCAGUUAAUCUGCUCGAAGAACUGCCAAAGAGUGCCCGUCGGGCUACGGGAGAAUGGGCAAACUCUCGUUCUCACACUCUCCUGGUUCAUUGCUGAGAAUCGAGGAGUCUGCUCUGUUCUUUGCGAGAGACAGGGAGCACCGAGAAUGGAAGCCCCGACGCAGCAGUAGCGGCCCGGCGCCGGCCACUUACAAGCGCUGUGGGACUGGCUGUCCCAAAUAACUCCUCCCCUCACCGCCCCCAAACACACUUGAAAGCCUCGGGAUUUUGAGACACUAGUUGCAGCAACCGCUGCGGGGGCCUCAUGCCUCCCACACUCGGGGAAGCCAGGGGGUUCCCUUUGUAAUAAGAUUAGCUGAGCGGUUAGCGAGAGCUUUCGACAGGCCAGGCACGGGUAGGCGCUUCAAUUACAUUUAGUCCGCCCAGCAACCACUAGGAGAAAGCAUUGUCCUUAACCCCCAUAUUACAGAUGGGGGCACUGAGGCUCAGAAAGGUUAGGUAGGUUGCCUAAGGUCACGCGGUUAAUGAGUGAUGGAGACAGAUUCAACCUGGGGUCAGCGAGGCGCCAAGUGCAUUUUCCUGCCCACCUUGGUCAAUCCCCCACCCUUUCUCUCCGGAGUGACAGCAGGGGGGUGUGGGGGCACCUUGGGGGAGACCUGGCUUCCUCCUCGUGCUUCUGGGACCCAGGGGAGAAGCAGAGACUGUAGAGAGCCUCUCUCUCUCACUGUGACUGUGUGUGGUGUCUCGGACCUGCCAGAUUCGAGGGGCCCCCUCCCCAGAGGCCUAGGGCCUGCGCGGGUGGAGAAGCGAUAGGACUCUAGAGCCCAGAGGCCUUAGGGAACUCCCGUGAAGGAGGUGGGCGAAAGUUAGAGGGGGCGCUCAGGGGGCAGGGGAGUCCAGGAGCUCAGGAAAGGUCUCAAGGGGAGUGUAGCAGGAGUCCGAGCAUCCCCAGCAGGCCCACCAUGCCGGGCAGGGCCCCUGCUCCGACCGUGACCUCCAGGCGGGAAUUGGCUGGGCCAGAGGUCAGCGCAUCCCCUCCCCCGCCCCCUACAUCCCCCCUCGCCCCCCGCCAGGGGCGCACCACCGCGAGCUGCCCAGGCCAGACGGCCGGCUGCCCCAGGCGCUGCCUUCGUUGCGGAGGCUGCUGCCCGCUCCCCGAGCUGUUCCUGGGCCCGCUGGGCCAGGGCCACCCUGGCAAGUCUGGGGGGGGGGGGGUUUAGAAGGCGAGCUUACUGACCAUAAGACAUGAACCCCCGAAAUCCGCUCCCUUCCUCUUCAUUAUUUAGAGGAAGACCGCGGAAACAAAUCACUUCUACCACUUAAAGAAGCGAGGAAACCUUUAUAAGAAUCCAUCGCUCCCAAAUCGAUGGGUGAAUAUUUGCUGGGAAUUUGUUCCAGAGGAAUAAAUAAGGAGCGAAGGGAACAAAUGGUCGGUUGCCUUUGACAGGACUCCAAUAAAGGAUUCAGCAGCUCUCCUCUCUGCCCUCGGCACUCCUGCUUCUAGGUUUAAGGAUCGGGAAAGAGCCAGCUAACUGAGGACCUUGGAAUGCAGGCAAAAAGGGCAAAUCUCUGGAAAGAGACUACCCCAUCGCCGAGAAGUUCCCAAAGGAGGAGCUUUGCAACUUGCCAGACCUGGAAUCUAAAAGAAGCUCCACUCCCAAGGGAUCACCGCAGACAGCACCUGUUCACUACACUUGAAAUGCAGCCGAACCCUCCAGCUCCUUUCAGCCUGGUCACCCAACAGCUGUCACUCAAACAAUGCCUCUCAGCCACCCCAGGCCUGAUUUGGAUUUGAC
This is a long non-coding RNA of Equus quagga, 2748 nucleotides long. RefSeq lists it as uncharacterized. NCBI's taxonomy places the organism in Eukaryota, Metazoa, Chordata, Mammalia, Perissodactyla, Equidae. The record is from RefSeq and is a predicted model, not a curated record. The transcript has 4 exons.